UUUUUUUUUUUAGUUUUUACAUUCUAACAAAACUGUCAUUCCAGCAUCCUAACCUGUCAAAUUGAACUAUUUGUAGUUCCUUAUAUAUGCCCUUCACUAUCCCAACUACUAAUCCAAGUUUAUGAUUUUCCCUCAAUCUCGAAGAGCCACUCUCUCUUCAAAAACUUCCCCCUCCAAUAUUACCUUUAGAAAUCCCACUCAUUCUUCAAGGUACAUUUCAACUACCACCUCUUCUGUGACAUUUUUUUCUGUUACUACCACUAGAGAAUGCCUUUUUUCAAUUCUUUUCAUUCUCUUAACAAACUUAGUAUUUUGUUUAAUAAUAAAUGUAGCAUGCAUUUAUUGUAAAGCUAUAUGCAUUUCUGUAGCAAAGACUUUCUGCUUGUGAUUAUUUAUGAACCUUUCAUAAUCUCCCUGCUAUAUAAUGUUUGCCUUUUGACCGCAGAGACCACCCUAGUCAUUUUUAUAUGUCCUGAAGCAUUUAGCGCAAUAUUAUUUAUUGAGUUGAUUUGAAUGGUAAUCUCCAUAAGACUGUUGCCAAAAACUCUAGGAAUAAAAAAAUGAGAUAAUGAUUCUUAGUGAUAGUCCCCUGGAUAAUUUGAAUGAAAUUCAUUAGCAGGACCUGGGGAACCAAACUCAUCUUUCCAACUAGAAAUGACAGCCAUAGCGUGAGACUCCCACCUCCUCCAAAUUUAUAGAAAUAAUGGACAGAAUAUAACUAUUUUAAACUAUAAAGCUGAGUUCAAAAUUGAGAGACCAAAAACUUCAGAUACCAGAAUGAAGAAGAACUUCAAAGUCAUAGUAAUAAGAGCCAGGAGUUAAGGUUUUAACCUCAUGCAGGACCAAGAGGUGAGACCCUAGAACCACUUAAUGUGUAGCUGGAAUGAAAAUUCCUGCAUAAAUUAGGACCCUAAAGAGGUUGUCACUUUUUGAAGCCUAAGAAAGUUGCCAAGAAGUUUAUCUUCUACCCAGUAGCCUAGAUUGGACAGAGGUGUGGGGUAGCAGUUCCCAUGAAAAUGGAAAGUCCUAGCUGAAGGAAAUCCAGUUUUUACAUUAGCAUUUGAAGACAGAAGCCCAAACUUAGAAACAGAGAAAUUGCCAACCCCCUAGGCUUACAAAUAUAAAAAUUUGUAGUAGUAGUAAGGGCACUUGUACAACUCAGAGCAUUAAAGAAUCCCACAGAAUAAAUUACCUUCACUGAAGAUAAACUCUCAACAAAAUGUGCACCACAAGGGAAUAAUCCACCACAAGGGACAGUUAACAGAUACACCAAAUUGGAAAAAAAUCUGGGACGCCUGAGUGGCUCAGUUGUUGAGCGUCAGCCUUCAGCUCAGGGCAUGAUCCCAGGAUCUGGGAUGGAGUCCCACAUCAGGCUCCUUGCAGGGAGCCUGCUUCUCCCUCUGCUUGUGUCUCUGCCUCUCUCUCUGUGUCUCUCAUGAACAAAUUAAUAAAAUCUUUUUUAAAAAAGGAAAAAAAAAAUCUGUGCCCAAAUAACUUCCAUUAAUAAAACAACCUUAACAUGACUUCAAAAUCUGAAUAAAAUGGUUAAAAACAUAAAAGAAAGACUAUAAGAUAAAAAUAAAGUGAAAGAACAAGAUAAGAUUAAAAAUGGAAGUAUUUGGGGGAAAAGAGAAACAUUUGGGAAAAAAUUGGGCUUUAUUGAUUCAUUAGUUCUUUCAACAAAUAUUUUUUGAAAACCCACAAAGUUCCAGCCCUAUUUGCAGUGCUGGAGAUAAAAUGGUGAAUGAGAUACACAAAUCCCCUACUAUGACAGAGCUUCUAUCAUGUUGAAAAUAAAACAGUUGGGGCACCUGGGUGGCUCUGUGGUUGAGUGUCUUGCCUUCGGCUCAGGGCAUGAUCCCAGAGCCCGGGGUUGAGUCCCCCAUCGGGCACCCCAUGGGGAGCCUGCUUCUCCCCCUGCCUAUGUCUCUGCUUCUCUCUCUGUCUCUCAUGAAUAAAUAAAUAAAAUCUUUCUUUAAAAAAAAAAAAACACUCAACACAUGGGUUUAACAGAUAGACUAGAAACUGCAGAAGAGAUGAUUAUUCAGUUGGAAAAUAAACUUGAGAAAAUUAUCCAUAAUCAGCACAGAGGAUACAAAACAGAGAAUAGUGAAAUUAAGAGAUAUGGAGAAUAGGGGUGCCUGGGGUGGCGCAGUCAGUUGAAUGUCAGACUCUUGGUUUCAGCUCAGGUUGUGAUCUCUUGGUCAUGAUCUUGAUCUUGUGGUCAUAAGACAGGGUCCAUGUUGGGGCUCUGCACUCAGCACAAAGU
RNAcentral lists this long non-coding RNA (2269 nucleotides) under Canis lupus familiaris (dog). RNAcentral's name for it is "lncRNA (ENSCAFG00845005373.1)". Lineage: Eukaryota; Metazoa; Chordata; Mammalia; Carnivora; Canidae. The record is from RNAcentral.